RNAcentral lists this ribosomal RNA (368 nucleotides) under uncultured prokaryote. RNAcentral's name for it is "bacterial SSU rRNA". It matches the Rfam family "Bacterial small subunit ribosomal RNA", at positions 524 to 896 of the family's 1533-position model. The record is from RNAcentral.
UACGGAGGGUGCAAGCGUUAUCCGGAUUUAUUGGGUUUAAAGGGUCCGUAGGCGGGCCGAUAAGUCAGUGGUGAAAGCCCAUAGCUCAACUAUGGAACUGCCAUUGAUACUGUCGGUCUUGAGUACAAUUGAAGUUGGCGGAAUGUGUAGUGUAGCGGUGAAAUGCUUAGAUAUUACACAGAACACCGAUUGCGAAGGCAGCUGACUAAUUUGUAACUGACGCUGAGGGACGAAAGUGUGGGGAUCAAACAGGAUUAGAUACCCUGGUAGUCCACACCGUAAACGAUGAUCACUAGAUUUUGGCCUUAUGGUCAGAGUCCAAGCGAAAGUGUUAAGUGAUCCACCUGGGGAGUACGUCCGCAAGGAUG